CUUUCAUCAGCCUCGGAAGAAAGGGGCGGGGGACGUGACCUGAAUUCAAGUAGUGGAGGCUGGGCCAAAAGGGCCCCUGCGCCUACUCUUGGCGGGGGGAAAAAAGAGAAAAAUCGCAGAGUGGGAGGGAGGAAGGAAGGAAAAGGGACUAACAAGAACCCUUCGCUAGCACUCGCGGGCAGAACCGGAGCCUCGAGGGCCCCCAAAACCUGCCGGACUCGCCCCCGCCCCUCCCCCGCUCCGGGUCCGCUCCAGACUCUUCACUCAGCGUUUGCCAGUCGAAGGAAGCUCCGCCCCUGCGUUCCGCUUAAAGCCAGUCCUCAUUGGCCGCUGGCCGCACCUCUACCUUCCCAUUGGCUGUACGUGCGUAAACAACGGCUGCUUACUUCAGA
Molecule: long non-coding RNA, 392 nt
Organism: Leopardus geoffroyi (Geoffroy's cat)
Lineage: Eukaryota; Metazoa; Chordata; Mammalia; Carnivora; Felidae
Exons: 2
Source: RefSeq, a predicted model, not a curated record